UACGAAGGGGGCAAGCAUUGUUCGGAAUUACUGGGCGUAAAGGGUGCGUAGGCGGAUUGAUAAGUCAGAUGUGAAAUCCCAAGGCUCAACCUUGGAAUUGCAUUUGAAACUGACAGUCUGGAGUUGUGGAGAGGAUCGUGGAAUUCCCAGUGUAGAGGUGAAAUUCGUAGAUAUUGGGAGGAACACCAGUGGCGUAGGCGACGAUCUGGCCAACAACUGACGCUGAGGCACGAAAGUGUGGGGAGCAAACAGG
This 253-nucleotide ribosomal RNA is filed under the name uncultured bacterium. RNAcentral describes it as "partial 16S ribosomal RNA". It matches the Rfam family "Bacterial small subunit ribosomal RNA", at positions 524 to 776 of the family's 1533-position model. The record is from RNAcentral.